RNAcentral lists this long non-coding RNA (1867 nucleotides) under Theobroma cacao (cacao). RNAcentral describes it as "long non-coding RNA (TCAC_LNC001563)". The record is from RNAcentral. Lineage: Eukaryota; Viridiplantae; Streptophyta; Magnoliopsida; Malvales; Malvaceae.
GAUAGUCAAGGUAUGUAAUUUAAUUUACAAUGACACGUGGGCCCCCAAAUGACAAAAGUGAACGAAGGCUGUGAACCUACGAUUUUUUAGGAAGUAAAGCCAACUGUAGCCUUCGACGAUAUCAGCUAUCUACAAACUAUCCCGAGCCUAAAAUGGGUGAAAAGGAGGGUGAUGAGAUUAUAUAAUCCCAAUGAGUAAACAAAUAUCAUCUAAAAUAUCUAAAGCCGAGUAAAUGGAGACGAUUAAAAUAGAUCAUCAUAAAAUGGUUCAUAACAUCAAAACACAUUUCAAAUCAUCUAAGCUAGUUACAUUUCAUCCAAAAUAUACAACGAGGCUUAUGAAUCUCUUAAAAACUUGGCUCGUGCCAAAACUCAUUCUCGGGGAUACCUUGGUCAAGGUAUUUAACCGAGUCCGCCAAAGUUGUUAAAAAGUCAUAUACACGCAAAACAAAUUUUUACAUUUAAAAACACAGUCGUUUCUUGACGUUGGCUGAAUUCACCUUCACGUGGUGGUUCAGCGUGAAGUGAACUCUAAACUUUACCCCAGGAGAUACCCUACGCGCCUCUCCGACAGAGGCAAAAAUAUAAUCGGAUUUCGUGCACUUCUAAUAGGCUGGCCCACAGAACUCGCCACUGUAGUGACCAAUCUAUAACCCACCAAUUAAAUAAAAAUUCAACAGCAUGACAUGGCAAUUUUAUCAUUAUCCAGCCUAUCAAGGCAAACAACAUUUUUUACAUUUUCAACAUAAAUACCCAUCCAGCCAUUCAUUCCCACAUUAUCAUAAGCCAUUCAAUUCAAAACAUAAUUUACAAUAUAGCAAGUAGUCUCCAAUUACUCCAUUUUCCAAGUCAUCAUUCAAUUUCAAGACAAUUUAUAAAAUCAUUUCAUUUAAUCACAUUUUGCUUAUAAAACAUAAAGAUUUACCAUUUAAACUUAUUUUUCAUAAAAUCACAAAAUCGAAUUAAAAUUCACUUUAGAUAAUCAAGAUGAUGAUAAGCUUACUCACAAUAUUAGGAGUCGAAGUACUCCUAGUCCAGGUCUUCGGGUACAACUUCUUUGCCCUUACCGGAGGAUUCACCACCUAGACAUAAUGCAUAAUCAAGCAAUUUACCACAUUGGUGCUAAAUCGUUAUAAAACUAAUCUAGGCUCUAUUGAAUGCAUGAAAUGAAAUGCGAAUUGUUCGGAUCAUUGUCUAAACACAGUGUUCUACAUAAAUUCAAUUGUGUACCUAAAUAAAACGGUAUUGGCCUAAUUCGAUCUAUCACCCGGUUAAUUGGCUAAUAUGUCCAAUUUAACUCCAAAUAACUCCAUUUCCUUCCCAAUACUCUAAAUCAUUAAACACAAUUUAAAUAACUUGAAAUGUGACAAAAUCAUCUUCACAUUUCUUCUUGGGAAUUUCAGCCAUGGUGGGUGCAUGAACACUAUGAUUUUUUCGACUUGAUUUUUACACCAUAAAUCAUUAAUUUCUAACCAAAUCACUUGAAAUAAAAUCAAGUCCACCAUCAACACACCAUAGGGAAAAUUCGGCCAAUGGUGGGUGAUAGAAGAAAAUGAAUUUUUCUUGUUUGCUUUUCAUGCUACACAUCACUAACUAACUAAAAACACUAGAAUAUAUUGAAAUCUAACCAAAUUAACCAUCAAAACCUCUCUCUAUAUUUUCGGUCAGCAAGAGAUCCAUCAUAUAAUCAUGAAUUUCAAACAUGAAAAUAAGAAAGAAUGCUUAGGAAAGAUAGAUCUCAAGUUAGAAUUGAAAAAUCUUACCUUUUGUCACUUGAUUCUUUGAAAUUUUGUGAAUUUCUCUUGAAUUUCUUAGCUAGGGUUUUGUUCUUCUUCUUUUCUUCCCUUUUCUUCCUUUGGCCGGCCAAG